This 1467-nucleotide ribosomal RNA is filed under the name Salmonella enterica subsp. enterica serovar Typhi str. CT18. RNAcentral describes it as "bacterial SSU rRNA". It matches the Rfam family "Bacterial small subunit ribosomal RNA". Lineage: Bacteria; Pseudomonadati; Pseudomonadota; Gammaproteobacteria; Enterobacterales; Enterobacteriaceae. The record is from RNAcentral.
UGCUUUGCUGACGAGUGGCGGACGGGUGAGUAAUGUCUGGGAAACUGCCUGAUGGAGGGGGAUAACUACUGGAAACGGUGGCUAAUACCGCAUAACGUCGCAAGACCAAAGAGGGGGACCUUCGGGCCUCUUGCCAUCAGAUGUGCCCAGAUGGGAUUAGCUUGUUGGUGAGGUAACGGCUCACCAAGGCGACGAUCCCUAGCUGGUCUGAGAGGAUGACCAGCCACACUGGAACUGAGACACGGUCCAGACUCCUACGGGAGGCAGCAGUGGGGAAUAUUGCACAAUGGGCGCAAGCCUGAUGCAGCCAUGCCGCGUGUAUGAAGAAGGCCUUCGGGUUGUAAAGUACUUUCAGCGGGGAGGAAGGUGUUGUGGUUAAUAACCGCAGCAAUUGACGUUACCCGCAGAAGAAGCACCGGCUAACUCCGUGCCAGCAGCCGCGGUAAUACGGAGGGUGCAAGCGUUAAUCGGAAUUACUGGGCGUAAAGCGCACGCAGGCGGUCUGUCAAGUCGGAUGUGAAAUCCCCGGGCUCAACCUGGGAACUGCAUUCGAAACUGGCAGGCUUGAGUCUUGUAGAGGGGGGUAGAAUUCCAGGUGUAGCGGUGAAAUGCGUAGAGAUCUGGAGGAAUACCGGUGGCGAAGGCGGCCCCCUGGACAAAGACUGACGCUCAGGUGCGAAAGCGUGGGGAGCAAACAGGAUUAGAUACCCUGGUAGUCCACGCCGUAAACGAUGUCUACUUGGAGGUUGUGCCCUUGAGGCGUGGCUUCCGGAGCUAACGCGUUAAGUAGACCGCCUGGGGAGUACGGCCGCAAGGUUAAAACUCAAAUGAAUUGACGGGGGCCCGCACAAGCGGUGGAGCAUGUGGUUUAAUUCGAUGCAACGCGAAGAACCUUACCUGGUCUUGACAUCCACAGAACUUUCCAGAGAUGGAUUGGUGCCUUCGGGAACUGUGAGACAGGUGCUGCAUGGCUGUCGUCAGCUCGUGUUGUGAAAUGUUGGGUUAAGUCCCGCAACGAGCGCAACCCUUAUCCUUUGUUGCCAGCGGUCCGGCCGGGAACUCAAAGGAGACUGCCAGUGAUAAACUGGAGGAAGGUGGGGAUGACGUCAAGUCAUCAUGGCCCUUACGACCAGGGCUACACACGUGCUACAAUGGCGCAUACAAAGAGAAGCGACCUCGCGAGAGUAAGCGGACCUCAUAAAGUGCGUCGUAGUCCGGAUUGGAGUCUGCAACUCGACUCCAUGAAGUCGGAAUCGCUAGUAAUCGUGGAUCAGAAUGCCACGGUGAAUACGUUCCCGGGCCUUGUACACACCGCCCGUCACACCAUGGGAGUGGGUUGCAAAAGAAGUAGGUAGCUUAACCUUCGGGAGGGCGCUUACCACUUUGUGAUUCAUGACUGGGGUGAAGUCGUAACAAGGUAACCGUAGGGGAACCUGCGGUUGGAUCACCUCCUUACCUUAAAGAAGC